RNAcentral lists this transfer RNA (75 nucleotides) under archaeon. RNAcentral's name for it is "tRNA-Arg". It matches the Rfam family "tRNA". From Rfam's summary of the family: Transfer RNA (tRNA) molecules are approximately 80 nucleotides in length. Their secondary structure includes four short double-helical elements and three loops (D, anti-codon, and T loops). The record is from RNAcentral.
GGGUCCGUAGCUCAGUUUGGACAGAGCACUUCACUCCUAAUGAAGGGGUCGAGGGUUCAAAUCCCUCCGGAUCCG